This 1199-nucleotide long non-coding RNA is filed under the name Anas platyrhynchos platyrhynchos (common mallard). RNAcentral's name for it is "lncRNA (ENSAPLG00000017894.1)". The record is from RNAcentral. Lineage: Eukaryota; Metazoa; Chordata; Aves; Anseriformes; Anatidae.
GAUUUUUUGACAACUAUGCAACUAUGAACAUCAAAUGGCUAACUAAAAUAAUUUGAUAGUUACAUGAAUAUGUAUUUUUCUUUUCCUUGUUUUAUGUCUCCUCUGAAUAUCUAGUCUUUUUCCUUUUUUUCCUUUUUUUUUUUUUUUUGCCAAGUGGGGAAUUUGCUUUAAAUAAGAAAAAAAAAAUAGAAAAAAGAGAAAGAAAAAAGAAAAAGAAAACUAAAUUAUCUGCUUUCCCUCAGAAAAAUGCUCCUGCCAAAGGAGCUGUGAAUAAAAGCCAGCUUUCACUGCCUUCUCGAGCAUCUUCCAUGCUUUCUGACUCCACCAGAUCUGUUUCACAGAUGCCUUCCUUGACUGAGAAGAAGACUGAGAUCUGCAGUUGUAGGCUUUUAUUGCACCUAAGUAAUCCAAAGAAAACCAUAUUGUUGUUUUCCUCCUGCUGACUCCUAGUGUUGUGAGCUCUAAAAAUUUAACCAAGGAUAUUCCAGUACAUUAUGUUUUUCUUAAAAUCCCUGUUCCUGAAGAAACAUAGUUUUAUGUUUUCAGGCAGGAGCAUCCCAUACCUACCUGAAGCACUCAACUUGCAUUCAAACCCUAAAACUUAGGCAGACAGGAUCUCCCUCUACAGGCCUCCACGUACAUUUCCUUCUACCCCUUGAUGCCAAAGGCAUCCUAGAGCACUGUCCCAGUGUAGUCAAAAUGAAGCCACAGGAUGGCUGGCCUGGGUACCCUAUGAAGUUUCUGGUUUAUGGAUGUACAUCCCUCAUGCCUGAAAUUUGAAAGGCGAAAGACAAAUAAUUAGAUGUUUUAUGACUUGCCGAGUCAUGAUUUUGGAGACAUCCUUGUAAUUUUUGGGAUCUGUUUAUUGAAUAUCCGUAAGCACUGCACAAGCCCUUGCAUAUAAAUAUUCCAGCUCUCAAGUAUACCACAUCAUGUCUCCUUCUGUCUAAAUCAAGCCCGAGCAGCUUCCUUCUCCUGAUGGCAUUAGCGACAAGCCCACAAGAGGUUGUCUGAGAGGCUGUUGAGAACAGCAAGGGCUGCAUGCGUGCAUCGUUGCACACUUCAGGCUUUUAAGCUAAAAGGGAAUUCCUUGUGUUUGGACAAGCUGUAGUGGUUGAUGUUUACAGCUCCCACUGUGUGAAGAAGGAAACUGAGGGUUAAAUACAGAGGAAUUUUCUUUUGUAACCUCAGUGUUGAUG